This is a long non-coding RNA of Salvia splendens (bonfire salvia), 402 nucleotides long. RefSeq lists it as uncharacterized. The transcript has 2 exons. NCBI's taxonomy places the organism in Eukaryota, Viridiplantae, Streptophyta, Magnoliopsida, Lamiales, Lamiaceae. The record is from RefSeq and is a predicted model, not a curated record.
CCGAUUCACCUAAUUGAAAUUUCUUGACAUAAAGCGAUUUAAGGUUCGAAUUUGAAGAAAUUAGGGUUUUUGUUGUGCCGUUGAAUUGAUCCAUCAAAAUGAUUUACGACGUCAAUUCCCCACUUUUCCGUUCUUUCCUCAGCCAGAAGGGCGGUGCCUCCGAAAAGAGGAAAACCGAAGAGCAGAAGCCGAAGGAACAUAGGCCAAAGGCAAAUGAGAACAAACCUGUUAUGUCAGAGUAGCAGUGUGAAUGAUGCAAUCACUACCUUGGAUGGAGUCUCCAAAUGUCUAAAUUGCCACUUAAUAUUGUAACUCCUUUAACUAGAACAUCGAGUUUAUUUCUCUAGACUACAUGUAACUAGAUAUUGCUUUUGAGAAGUAAAGCUUUUGUCUGAUAAAAAA